RNAcentral lists this transfer RNA (73 nucleotides) under Nitrospirota bacterium. Its description in RNAcentral is "Nitrospirae bacterium (hot springs metagenome) tRNA-Lys". It matches the Rfam family "tRNA". Rfam says of the family: Transfer RNA (tRNA) molecules are approximately 80 nucleotides in length. Their secondary structure includes four short double-helical elements and three loops (D, anti-codon, and T loops). Lineage: Bacteria; Pseudomonadati; Nitrospirota. The record is from RNAcentral.
GGGCCACUAGCUCAUCAGGCAGAGCACCACCCUUUUAAGGUGGGUGUGCCGCGUUCGAGUCGCGGGUGGCUCA